AAACUAACAAGGAUUCCCCUAGUAACGGCGAGUGAAGAGGGAAGAGCCCAAGAUUGAAAGCUGGCGCCUUCGGCGUCCGCAUUGUAAUCUCAAGAAGUGUUUUCCGCUUCGGACCAUGCCUAAGUCCCUUGGAAAAGGGCAUCAUAGAGGGUGAUAAUCCCGUACAUGGCAUGGAGCGCCCGAAGCUUUGUGAUACGCUUUCUAAGAGUCGAGUUGUUUGGGAAUGCAGCUCAAAAUGGGUGGUAAAUGCCAUCUAAGGCUAAAUAUUGGGGAGAGACCGAUAGCGAACAAGUACAGUGAUGGAAAGAUGAAAAGAACUUUGAAAAGAGAGUUAAACAGUACGUGAAAUUGCCAAAAGGGAAGGGUAGGAGGUCAGAGAUGCGUCGCAGGAUUCAGCCUUGCUUUUGCUUGGUGUUUUUCCUGCGUUGCAGGCCAACGUCGGUUUUGGGCACUGGAGAAGGGUAGGAGGAACGUGGCACCUCUCGGGGUGUGUUAUAGCCUCCUACUGGAUACAGCGACCGAGACCGAGGAACGCAGCGUACUCGUAAGAGCGGGCCUUUUGGCACCUUUACGCUUAGGGCGUUGGCAUAAUGGCCCUCUACCAC
Molecule: ribosomal RNA, 605 nt
Filed under: Pseudozyma hubeiensis
Lineage: Eukaryota; Fungi; Basidiomycota; Ustilaginomycetes; Ustilaginales; Ustilaginaceae
Description: eukaryotic LSU rRNA
Rfam family: Eukaryotic large subunit ribosomal RNA
Source: RNAcentral